UGAUCAUGUGAAGGUGCUGAAUUGUACUCUGCACCAAGAAAAGUACAGGACAACAGGAGACAGCUAUUUCAUUGCCAACAAAGGGAAGAAGGAGGGUGAUUCCUUUCAGACACACACAUCACAUUGUCUACUGGUUUAUUAACUGCCUUCAGGUGAGUUGAAUGAAAGCAGGUGAUGCAACUAUGCUUCAAAUCAUGUAAAAGGGAUGCAUUUUCCCCUUCUGCCUUUUCAGUCUGUCAUAGGAGACUGUGGAGAUCAAUAAUGCAGUGAAUGCUAAAUGUAACAAGCGGGAGACCCAGCAGAAGGAAACCCGGUCAGGUAUAGGUGAGCACCAGCAUUCAGUGCUGAGCUCAAAUGCCUUGCUGACUCAGAUGUGGCGCUGAGACUCGCAUCCCUCAAAGCACCAGGAUUCUUCAGAGGUGUGCUGUCAUGCAGAGGGCACUGGACCCAGUUCCACCAGCCUUCCCAAAAUCUGAUGGGGGAAUAAAGAUUGAGAAAGGGUUUCUGUAUUUUGAAUUUUUAAAAGAGGCCUCUAGACCACUAUUGCUCCUUUGUCACUUUGAAAGGACCCUGGGACAUCCCUUCUGACCUCGCAGAUGAUACAGAUUCCCUUUCCAUGGGCUCCCUGUCCCCACGAUCCUGGCAGUUCUUGCUCAGGGGGCUGAGGAUCGUGCUUCUGGCUGAGGCAGGUGAUGAUCCCCCACCCAGAAUGGUCUGAGGCCCAAGGGGAGCUAAAAACAUCAAGCCUGGAGAUGUGACUGAGAUCUCCACCUAAACCAGGGCUGAGAAACGGUGGCACCACCAUGUACACCUCUUCAAGCAAAAAAAUAAAUAAAUAAAAAUCCAUUAGUGUGCA
RNAcentral lists this long non-coding RNA (856 nucleotides) under Anas platyrhynchos platyrhynchos (common mallard). RNAcentral describes it as "lncRNA (ENSAPLG00000030658.1)". Lineage: Eukaryota; Metazoa; Chordata; Aves; Anseriformes; Anatidae. The record is from RNAcentral.